CUGUCCUGACAUACAUGACUGAUCAGCGUUCAUUUUUAGUGCUGCAUUUCACACAGAGAGGAAGAAUAUUGGCACCCAGUAACCUGCAGUCAAAACUCUUUGACUAGAGAAUUUUGCCACCUACUUCCUAGGACUGGGAAUGAGGAAAGGGAAGAGCAGCAGUCAUACUGCUGCCACUAUGGAUCGGAGUCGUGCUGAAGCUGAUGAUCUCCUAAACCAGGGGCCAAAUUCUGGGUAAGAAUUACAGACACAUGGAAAGAUGGAGAAGUUUUGAUCCUCAGAAAUGGAGCCAAUAGAUGCCCACAACACCUGCAGAAACAGCCUCCUUUAUUUGAAGCUGAAGGUCCAAAAUGGAUUCUGGUUUUAUAUAUUCCGGAGGACCCCUUCUGGGAGGCAAAAUUAGGAUAUUGUUGCUGCUCAAAUGUGUACAGAAGAAUCUGUUCAACACAAGAGCCAAAGACCACUGUGUAAAUAUGAACCCAAGUGAUCAUCUGUUAAGAAUAUACCUGAUACAGAGACAUAAAACACCUGUUACAUGGCUGAUGGGUCAAGUGUCACGUGCCCUAUCUGUACACCAUGUUUUGGGACAUACCUGGAACCAAUCAUGUUGCUGACCCAUGGCCAAAUCUAAAUGAAAGAUU
Molecule: long non-coding RNA, 641 nt
Organism: Bubalus bubalis (water buffalo)
Lineage: Eukaryota; Metazoa; Chordata; Mammalia; Artiodactyla; Bovidae
Exons: 6
Source: RefSeq, a predicted model, not a curated record